RNAcentral lists this ribosomal RNA (689 nucleotides) under Staphylococcus saprophyticus. RNAcentral describes it as "bacterial SSU rRNA". It matches the Rfam family "Bacterial small subunit ribosomal RNA", at positions 59 to 724 of the family's 1533-position model. The record is from RNAcentral. Lineage: Bacteria; Bacillati; Bacillota; Bacilli; Caryophanales; Staphylococcaceae.
GAGUCGAUCCUGGCUCAGACUCAAGUCGUAACAAGGUAUCCGUAGAGUUUGAUACUGGUGUCAUAACACGUGGGUAACCUAGCUAUAAGACUGGGAUAACUUCGGGAAACCGGAGCUAAUACCGGAUAACAUUUGGAACCGCAUGGUUCUAAAGUGAAAGAUGGUUUUGCUAUCACUUAUAGAUGGACCCGCGCCGUAUUAGCUAGUUGGUAAGGUAACGGCUUACCAAGGCGACGAUACGUAGCCGACCUGAGAGGGUGAUCGGCCACACUGGAACUGAGACACGGUCCAGACUCCUACGGGAGGCAGCAGUAGGGAAUCUUCCGCAAUGGGCGAAAGCCUGACGGAGCAACGCCGCGUGAGUGAUGAAGGGUUUCGGCUCGUAAAACUCUGUUAUUAGGGAAGAACAAAUGUGUAAGUAACUGUGCACGUCUUGACGGUACCUAAUCAGAAAGCCACGGCUAACUACGUGCCAGCAGCCGCGGUAAUACGUAGGUGGCAAGCGUUAUCCGGAAUUAUUGGGCGUAAAGCGCGCGUAGGCGGUUUCUUAAGUCUGAUGUGAAAGCCCACGGCUCAACCGUGGAGGGUCAUUGGAAACUGGGAAACUUGAGUGCAGAAGAGGAAAGUGGAAUUCCAUGUGUAGCGGUGAAAUGCGCAGAGAUAUGGAGGAACACCAGUGGCGAAGGCGA